UGACAAAAAAUAGAAAUCAGUAAAAGCUAAACAUGUAUUAUGUUCAUUAGAAAGUUAGAACUUUUUUCAACCAUUUUUUAUAGUCGGGGUGUUGUUCGUUUAUAUUUUUCCCAAUUUGCUGAGGUAAUUUUAUGAUUGUAACUAAGUGGUUCACGUUCUCUUUGUUUCUCUUAAUUGUAUUUAUUACGAUAAUAAGUAUCUAAUUUUGAUUAUUGACACGACGGUUGUAAUGGAUUAAAUUGGUAACGUCCGGACUGUCUCUAUCAGUGGAUCCCAUCUUCUCUCUCGGGCCCACGGAUCCAUCUUUGUCUGACACUCGGUCCGCUACGUCCGAGAGACUAUCUUUUUCGUGUUUUGUUCUCACUCACACGGUUUCGACAAUUAUUUCCGGAAAGGUCACUCAUCCUGAAAUUGCUCGAGCCCAAACAUGCUAAACUAUGAAUUUCUCUCAAGACAUUUGACCAAAACAAAUGUGCAUUUUGGUAACAUAUAUGACCAAAUCAAUUCUUUUAAAAAUUUUCGCAUGCACCACCAUAUUCCUGAAACUGGGAUAUUACUGGAUCACUUGGCACGAAUAUUCAUACCCAACCUCAUAUUAUCACAUCUGCAAACAAAAUUCCUCAGCAUUGACUUAUUAGAGUCAAUCUAAUAGAGUUGUUGAUUAAAAAACUUAAAAUAAAGUUAGCAAAUUUUAAUAUAAAAAAAUUUAUACUAUUGAAAGUUAUAGUUCCUGGAUUUAUUUUUGUUUUUAAUAUGGGACCUUGUAAAUGUUUU
This 774-nucleotide small RNA is filed under the name Arabidopsis thaliana (thale cress). Its description in RNAcentral is "ATSL278220". The record is from RNAcentral. Lineage: Eukaryota; Viridiplantae; Streptophyta; Magnoliopsida; Brassicales; Brassicaceae.